AAUUGUAGUUUAUUAUUCAUAUCAAAUAAAAAAAAACGAAAAAAUUAACCUGAAUCAAAGUGGAAGACUUUGUAUACUUAUCAAUAAUUAGCUAUAAGAUACUAUGGAAACGAAUUACAUCACAUCAUUCAAAAUUAUUAUUCAUGUCAAAUUCCAGUAGAGUAGAAGCAUCAAAUAUCAAUAUUUUGGGAAAUAUUGAAUUCUCAAUAAUUUACGACAUAUAGUUCGAGUCUUAUAAUCCCUACAACAUAAUGGUAUGAAAGUCCUAUCCGAUAAUGUUCAAGACAACAACAAAUUCCUUCAAUACUGCAAAUUUCCAAGUACCUAAGUCCUAAGAUACCCAGAAGCACGAGUAAAGGAUUGCUCGUGAAGCCGUUGUGAGAAUAAAUGAGACCCAAAUCCAACUCCCUUAGACUUCUUCUGAUUUCGGAGCACAGAACGUUCAUUCGUUCACAUUCUUGGAGGGCAACAAUUGCAAAUGGCGUUUUAUCUUCCAAUUUGGAGAACAUCUCUUGUAUGGGAAAAGGCUCAGGGAUUUUGUCAAGUGAUCCACAAUGCGAACAGAAUUCCCACCUUCUCCUCUAGAGUUAAACCUGAUCCUGAAGCGGUUCCAGAAUCUCUCGGUUGUAGCUCAAAAAUAAUCUUGAACAUUUCUUCAGAUGAUUGCGUCAAAAAUCCAAUUUCAGCAUUAGGGUGUAAACCAUAUAAAUAUGGGCUUUCAGGAGGUAAACUAUCGUCAAUGUAUUUAUGGUAUCCAUCAUAAUCUGUGCUUGGUGGUGCUGGAAAACCUGGAGCUAACUCUAGCUCACCCUCUAUCAGCUCCAGCUUUAAAUAUACUUCCAGAUAAGUUCUGCAUAACCGUCGAUCCCAGUCAUCAGUGAUGUGUCCACCAUACAUUAUUUCACCGAAAAGAUAUCUCAAGUCUUCAUAAGGAAUCUAAAAUCGAAACAUCAAUUGAAAUAUUCAACAAUUCAUUAGUUACUUACUUUGCUAUUACUCUCCAAAUAAUUGUAGAGGACGUUCACACUAAUAGUAAGAUCGCCAACAUUAAACGGAUAAUUCUUGUUCCA
Molecule: long non-coding RNA, 1070 nt
Organism: Harmonia axyridis
Lineage: Eukaryota; Metazoa; Arthropoda; Insecta; Coleoptera; Coccinellidae
Exons: 3
Source: RefSeq, a predicted model, not a curated record